GAUGAACGCUGGCGGCGUGCCUAAUACAUGCAAGUCGAGCGAACGGACGAGAAGCUUGCUUCUCUGAUGUUAGCGGCGGACGGGUGAGUAACACGUGGAUAACCUACCUAUAAGACUGGGAUAACUUCGGGAAACCGUAGCUAAUACCGGAUAAUAUUUUGAACCGCAUGGUUCAAAAGUGAUAGACGGUCUUGCUGUCACUUAUAGAUGGAUCCGCGCUGCAUUAGCUAGUUGGUAAGGUAACGGCCUACCAAGGCAACGAUGCAUAGCCGACCUGAGAGGGUGAUCAGCCACACUGGAACUGAGACACGGUCCAGACUCCUACGGGAGGCAGCAGUAGGGAAUAUUCCGCAAUGGGCGAAAGCCUGACGGAGCCACGCCGCGUGAGUGAUGAAGGUCUUCGGAUCGUAAAACUCUGUUAUUAGGGAAGAACAUAUGUGUAAGUAACUGUGCACAUCUUGACGGUACCUAAUCAGAAAGCCACGGCUAACUACGUG
This 497-nucleotide ribosomal RNA is filed under the name uncultured bacterium. RNAcentral describes it as "partial 16S ribosomal RNA". It matches the Rfam family "Bacterial small subunit ribosomal RNA", at positions 28 to 507 of the family's 1533-position model. The record is from RNAcentral.